GGGGGUGAUGGCGCCGGGCGCCCCACGGGCUGCAAACCCGUUGGCCUCAUCUAAGAAAUGAGGGGUGGGUUCGACCCCCACUUGCCCCCUCCA
Molecule: small RNA, 93 nt
Filed under: Deltaproteobacteria bacterium
Lineage: Bacteria; Pseudomonadati; Myxococcota; Myxococcia
Description: tRNA-Cys
Rfam family: Selenocysteine transfer RNA
Source: RNAcentral